AUGGUUCCAACAAAAAUUAAUAUGAUUGAAGCAAAAAACCUCAGUAAAAAAACUAGAGUAGUGUUCUUGAAGCAAAAAGAACAGAUGGUUCCAGCAAAAAAAGGGUUUCCAGCACCUCCGAUUAAGGUGGUCGUAGCUUUUUCCCUAGCCAGUUCCAGGACCUCGGAGUGUGGACGCAACUUUUUUCAUGGCCGGUUGCAGCCUCUUCAACAGUUGCAGGAAAAAAAAGGGUUAAGGAUGGGUGACGAAGGGGGUGGAGUUCAUCCAUGGCUGCUGGAGAGAGAAGGGGAUGGAGUUCAUCCAUGGCCGGAGGAGAGAAGGGGAAGGAGUCCAUCCAUGGCUACUGGAGAGAGAAGGGGAUAG
This 363-nucleotide ribosomal RNA is filed under the name Triticum aestivum (bread wheat). RNAcentral describes it as "partial small subunit ribosomal RNA". The record is from RNAcentral. Lineage: Eukaryota; Viridiplantae; Streptophyta; Magnoliopsida; Poales; Poaceae.